GAAAGCUUCAAAGUAAGACGACAGUGCCGAAGUUCUUAAAAUAGCACAAGCCCUAGGCAUUUUCGACCCCGCCACCUGGCAGAAGACAAGCCAAUUCGGAAUUCGCCCAUCCCUCUUCCUAUAUCCAGCCUCAAAACGAUGAAAAGCGGCUUUUCAAAACAGAAUCGGCCAAUCAAGGAAAACUAAAGACACAUACUAGUGAAAAUUAAAGUUUUAAGGCUUAUUCAGGUCUAAAAAACCUUAAGAUAAAUGUAUUAGAAAAAAAAGGUUUGAAAAAGAUAAGUUUAUUUACUUGAUUAGAUGUACAGAGCGUUUUUUUUAUAAAUACGCUGGAAAAAAAUAUCACUUGAGAUGAAACGAACACCUCUUCCUUGUUAUAUGAGAUUAAAUCACGAACGUGACUCAAAAGUGGAAUUAAAAAAGCAAACAUAAGAAAUCAAUAUUCCUGAGUUGAAAAGCAACCACCUAAUAAUACGGUGUUUCAUAU
This is a long non-coding RNA of Daphnia pulicaria, 487 nucleotides long. RefSeq lists it as uncharacterized. Lineage: Eukaryota; Metazoa; Arthropoda; Branchiopoda; Diplostraca; Daphniidae. The transcript is spliced from 2 exons. The record is from RefSeq and is a predicted model, not a curated record.